GCUUGACACAUUAUCAAUCAAAUAUACAUAAAUUGUCUAAAACAUAUAUCUUAGUACUUUACAUCCCAUAUACGUAUUUACAACAAAAAUGACUCUAGGCUUCCAACGGAGUGACCAAGGUGAAGGUGCGGCUACGAAAAUGCCAAGAUACCUACCAAGGAUGCGAAUCUACAAGGACACCUCGACCUAGUUACCAGCUACCUCUUGAUCUAAAAACAUGAAGUUGAAAACGGUGAGUAUAAACCUAGUGAGUGAACAAGGAAAGGAACAAGCAUACAAUAAGGAAGAUUUAACGAAAUCAUGAUGCAUUUAUCUUUCAAAUAAUGCAAUUUAGUUUGGUUCUUAUUAAAACCCCUCAUUUAAACCCCUCAUGAGUAAAUCGCUUGAUGAUAAAGAGUUCAUGCUCAACAAAAGAUUUGAAGAGUGAAAACUUUAAAGAGAUUCAAGCAAUUGAAGUCAAGUAAACGACGAGUCCUCGCUGUAGUGGAAAGACAUUCUCGUUGCAACAAAUUUUGACUCAAAUUAUCAACUGACCAAGGGUUUCUCACCAAACCUCCUCAUUUCAAACUUAAUUAUUUAAUUCCUUAAUGUUGGAAGUCCAUGCUCAACUAUGGUACCAAAGAAGUGAGAAAUAGGGCAGAAACCGAACAAGACAAUAAGCAAGACAGAAAGUUUCUCGCUGCAGCGAAAUUUAAGCAGCAAAAUAGAAAGUUUCUCGCUGCAGCGAGAAGCCUCAGCAACUUUCUCGUUGCAGCGAGAAUCCAGCCAAUACAACCCUCCAAACCCUAGAGUUUUUUGCUGUAGCAAGAUUCAUUCUCGCUGCAACGAGAAACAGGACACCAACAUCAAUUUUUCAUUCUCUCAAGAAAAGGCCAUUUAGCUGCAAGGACAAAAUCAACUUGAACAUGCUUAGAAAUUUCCAAGGUUUAACAUGCAAGAUUCAUAUGCAUUACAAACCAUAUAUUAUACUCAUGCACUUUCUAUAACACACAACUUUAUAUAUAUAAUAUACAUCAUCAUACAUACCAUCCAACCAUCAUCAGCUCAUGUGCACUCCCACUCGCACAUAGCUGGGUCAGCAUCAACUCAUAUGCACUCCUACACGUACAUGGCUGGGUCAUCAUCAGCUCAUGUGUACUUCUACACGCACAUGGUUGGGUCAUCAUCAUCACAAAAAAGGAACAUACAAUGCAUAUUAUACAUAUCAACAUAUUGCUAUAACACAUGAACCAUUUAUUUGGCACAUUUUCACAAGAUAAAAACAUUCACCAAAUGUUUGUUCCCUAGGUAGAUUUUUAAAGAAAAAUUGGAUAAAAUCAUUCAAAUGUUUUGUGCAAACACAUUCAUAUUCCCAAAACAAAUUUUGAAAUGCAAGUUCACUCACCAGUAUUUGUUAAAUCCUUACUCAACUCCAACUUCUUCUAUUGGUCCAAAUGGGUGGUGGGGCUUCGUUAGAACCUUGGUAGCUUUGUAAAUUUGAAAUUCUUUCUAAUAAUUCUCCAAACUAUUAUAAAGCUCCCUCUUUCUCUCUCUAAACAUCUAGCUAGUGAGAGGAAGUAUGGAAGUAAGAUUUUUCAAGGGUUUUAAAGUGAGAGAGUGAAAAAGCACAAAGGUUCUAUGAAAGGGUACACAAAAGCAUGAAAGGUGAAACUGGCUUGAGAGAGUUAUGGAAGCUUGAAGAGAACUCCCAUGGAGGAUGAAGAAACAUGAGAGGGAAAAAGGAAGAAGAAGAAGAAGC
Molecule: long non-coding RNA, 1738 nt
Filed under: Theobroma cacao (cacao)
Lineage: Eukaryota; Viridiplantae; Streptophyta; Magnoliopsida; Malvales; Malvaceae
Description: long non-coding RNA (TCAC_LNC000894)
Source: RNAcentral